Molecule: long non-coding RNA, 408 nt
Filed under: Salmo salar (Atlantic salmon)
Lineage: Eukaryota; Metazoa; Chordata; Actinopteri; Salmoniformes; Salmonidae
Description: lncRNA (ENSSSAG00000105796.1)
Source: RNAcentral
GUGACAAAAUACAGGGUCAGUACCAUAUUAACAAUGUACAGGGAUACUGGAGGGAUGGAGGUAGAUAUGUAUAGGGGUAAGGGGACAGGGAUACUGGAGUGAUGGAGGUAGAUAUGUAUAGGGGGAAGGGGACAGGGAUACUGGAGUGAUGGAGGUAGAUAUGUAUAGGGGGAAGGUGACUAUAUACAGGGUCAGUACCAUAUUAACAAUGUACAGGGAUACUGGAGGGAUGGAGGUAGAUAUGUAUAGGGGUAAGGUGACUAUAUACAGGGUCAGUACCAUAUUAACAAUGUACAAGGAUACUGGAGUGAUGGAGGUAGAUAUGUAUAGGGGGAAGGUGACUAUAUACAGGGUCAGUACCAUAUUAACAAUGUACAGGGAUACUGGAGUGAUGGAGGUAGAUAUGUA